Molecule: ribosomal RNA, 181 nt
Filed under: uncultured bacterium
Lineage: Bacteria
Description: partial 16S ribosomal RNA
Rfam family: Bacterial small subunit ribosomal RNA
Source: RNAcentral
GUAUGAAGUCGGAAUUGCUAGUAAUGGCAGGUCAGCAUACUGCCGUGAAUACGUUCCCGGGCCUUGUACACACCGCCCGUCACACCAUGAGAGUUGGGAAUACCCGAAGCCUGUGAGCCAACAAACGAGGCAGCAGUCGAAGGUAGAAUCAAUGAUUGGGGUGAAGUCGUAACAAGGUAAC